Molecule: non-coding RNA, 121 nt
Organism: Glycine soja
Lineage: Eukaryota; Viridiplantae; Streptophyta; Magnoliopsida; Fabales; Fabaceae
Source: Rfam
UUCUUAUUAGAUGAUGAUUGACACGUGUCAUGUGUUUUGAUGAGAUGUUAACUCCAUGAAAGAUGAAUGCAUUGCUAUUUUCAUUAACCAAUUAGAACAUGACAUGUGACAGUCAUCAUCC